Molecule: transfer RNA, 70 nt
Filed under: Alosa alosa (allis shad)
Lineage: Eukaryota; Metazoa; Chordata; Actinopteri; Clupeiformes; Clupeidae
Description: tRNA-Tyr
Source: RNAcentral
GUGGCUGUAAUAGUUGGUUAAAAGCGUCUAGUAAAACAGGAGAUCCUGGGUUCAAAUCCCAGCAGUGCCU